Molecule: ribosomal RNA, 253 nt
Filed under: uncultured bacterium
Lineage: Bacteria
Description: partial 16S ribosomal RNA
Rfam family: Bacterial small subunit ribosomal RNA
Source: RNAcentral
UACGUAGGUGACCAGCGUUGUCCGGAUUUACUGGGCGUAACGAGCGCGCAGGCGGUCGUUCAAGUCGAGUGUGAAAGCCCCCGGCUCAACUGGGGAGGGUCACUCGAUACUGAUCGACUGGAAGGCAGGAGAGGGAAGCGGAAUUCCCGGUGUAGUGGUGAAAUGCGUAGAUAUCGGGAGGAACACCAGUGGCGAAGGCGGCUUCCUGGCCUGUUCUUGACGCUGAGGCGCGAAAGCUAGGGGAGCAAACGGG